RNAcentral lists this unclassified non-coding RNA (6792 nucleotides) under Haliotis rufescens (red abalone). RNAcentral describes it as "uncharacterized LOC124137364, transcript variant X2". The record is from RNAcentral. Lineage: Eukaryota; Metazoa; Mollusca; Gastropoda; Lepetellida; Haliotidae.
CAGUUGUUCCCCUGCUCCAGUGAAGCAGCUGGUCCGAGUUUGUUUACAUUAGGGCACUGAUGGCAUGGGCCAGAAUGACACACUAGGAUUAAGACAUAACACUCUCCAACCUAAACCAGAGUGAAGGAAACUGCAGAGACCACAUGGAAUCAUCCAGACCACAUGGUCACUUGUGGAAUAAAGAAGUGCAACACUCAUCUAUUGUUUUGAGAAAGAAAGUUAUUGAAUUGUCAGCGAAAUCAACGAAAGAAAACGCAUUUUCUCCAUCCUCAGGUAUGAUGAAAUACAAGGAAAGUAGGAGUCAUGGGUUCUGCUCACAUUUGGGACUGUCUUCAAAUCAUACAUGAUGAAAACACCUCAGAAAAAUGGAUCAAAUUUGAGGAUUUUAUAAAUUUCCUGAAACAGCACCAGACUUCAGAAGAUGAUGUGAAAGAUAUCCGAAGAGACAAUAUAUUGCGAUCUUUGAAGAAACAUAGAAAUUGUGUUCGUGUGAUUGAAAAGAAUACUUGCAAGAAAGGAAACGUGCUGUCUGUAAAUGAGACUCAGUUAAAUUUCAAAGCAUUUUUAAGAUACUGUUUUGAUCAUUGUGACCGUAUCAAAGUAUGUGGCAAAGUUGUCAAUGAAGUUCAAUCAUGGGCUCUGUCAGAAGGAAGUUCAAGCGCUGAUGCUCUCUUUGAAUUUUACACUGUUGUGAGCAGGUCGGUCUUUAGAUAUGAUACAAUUGAUAAACUCUUGUGUGACAAAAUACAUCGUUUUGAAAUUCCUUGUUUGUACAAAUCAUACGAAAAGAACUUUGAAAAGGAAGAAUGGGAAAAAAUAAAAAUAUUUGAAGUUCACUUCUGGAAUAGCAUCAAAGAUGAGUCACCAGUUCAUUCUUCUGGCUACAGUAGUGAUCUUUCAAUCACAAAGCGUCAGGAACUGUUUAGUCAGUGUAAAUGGAUUUAUACAUUGAAAGAAACCCUACUCUACUCAAUUAAAGACGCAAUUAAAACCAACUCUAAUAGAAAACUGGCAGCAGACAACAUUGAGGGAGUUGUGUUAGAAGCAAAGACAAAGCACCUCCCGUCAUUGCUUGAUGAAACAAUCACAGAUCUCCUGGAAGACAACUUUCCAGGUUCAUUCUGUCCAGCUGUUUGUCUAGACUGUGAGCAGAUCUGCAAGGCAAAGCAUUCCCCUGGCAUUCACGUCUACUUGGAAGUGACGGAAGAUGCUGGUGAAAUAAAUAUUGACGACACUUUUACUUUGAUUAAAAGUGAACUUGCUUGUCAUCACAAAGAAAGGUGUGCAGAGGUUGUGAUUUUCGAAAGCAAGACCUUCAAAAGUUACAGCGUGGGUAACAGAGUCACCAAAAGGUUCCAUCUCCGCGAUGACGUCAGUCAAGGUAAUCUAUCCCGAAGGACAUCCACAUUCAAAUCAGAAGACUUCUUUGAAGAAAGUGAAGAGGAUCUGAGGGAUAGCAUUUGUCCGACAUGCGCGCCAGUGCUUACACAUACUGAUCCGUUGGACUUACAUUCAUUUGAUAUCUUCAAAGAAUGGAAAUUUUACGUACCCCUACCUUUCCAAAUUGUUCUUGAAACAUUCAUUAAUUUCCAAAGUGUAAGAAAGUCUCAGAGGCCUGACAAAUUUGUAAAGGAAAGGAUAGAGAAGCUGUACCUCCUUUUUGAUGCCAUGUUAAACAUCAACAACAAGAACUAUGCUGGCAUUAAUCAGGAAAUUAACACUGAUGAGCUUUCAGCGUCUUACCACAGCAUUACAAAUGUGUUUUCUGUAACAUCACAUGGUGGGCUUACUGGCAGUCUGAAGAAUGCAACUGAAAGACUACAGAGACAGGCAGACCCUGACAAGUGCUAUUAUAACACUUUCAUAAAAAAGUAUGACCUUGACUAUGAAGCACAAGAUGGCCACAAGCACCAGGUUUCCCUUCGAGAUUGCCACCUUAUUUUCUGUUUGGACAAUCUUGUUAGGUUGUCCUUUCACAGGGAUCCAGACAGAGGAGAUUCUAGGUCCUCACAAAUAUGCACUUUGCCAAUGACCUUGAUGGGAAUACCAAGGAAUGCUGCAGUUCUCCAAGAAUGGCAUGAUGACAACAUAUGUGAUGGCACAUCCACAUGUCAAUGCAGAGAAGCAGUCAAGAUGAACAAAGAGGAUUUAAAGUUUGUAUUCCAUCAACUAACAGUUGCAGAAGAAUCCCAAAGGGCCGACUUUCAAAUGAAGCUUACUUGGAAUUUACAUUACCUGUGGUCUGAGAUCGACCAAACAGUAGCCGCAUCACAUUUGACAAGUGCAAUACAGAAUAUAUUCAAUGGGCAUGAAGCUGCUGGAGGACAGGAAGACACAAUGGAAAAUGUUGUAUCUGAAGAAUGGCAUGACUCAUACAACAACGAACUGGACACAGUGCUAAGACAACUUGACAAAGAAGAAGGUCUGAUGGACAUGUCUCUUUCUGACAUUAUGUCAGAUACUGAGUUUGACGGUAGUUGUGAAAGCUUGAUGCCAGAUUCAGACUCAGAAUACAAUCAGAAUGAGAUGACAGAUGUCGAUCUUGAGCUUUCACAGAUGAAUGACAGUUUAAGCGUUUUGAAUUUAGGAUGCUCGCCCCUACCUAACAAUCAAGGAGACAUGUCAUCUGAGGACCUGGAGGCCAAUGUCACUGUCAUUGAAGAUCUCAUCUCCACACUGGGAUACACAAUAUACAAACCCCCCUCUGUCUUGGUAAGGCAUCCACCUCCAGCAAUUGGCCGAGAUGAUGACAUUCAUAAAAUGCGUGACAUUUUGAAUGACAUACUGGUCAAAUCAGCAGCAAACCCUGAUACAUGUCGCAUUUUGUUUGCUCCUGACAACAAAAUAGGAAAGUGCCUUUUCAAGCUGAUGGAUGAAGACAUGCAAUUAGGAAAUAUCUACCAGAAUUUCCACUACUACAUCUGCGGAAGUCAAAGAUUGUGAACCUUUGCAGUGCAUACAAAGAUGCUGGCCUCUUUCAUCUCCUGAGCUACAUGCACGACACGACUGAAGACUGGAAGAAACUCGUCAGCACAGAAAACAUUGAAGCAGCAACCCAUAACGUCCGAAGAGUUUCCUAUGCGCUUCACGUAGCCUUCAUGAUAAAAUUCCUUUCAACAAAAGCCCCAAAUAAUGCAAAGAUUAUAUUUAACUCUUUGAAGGAAAAAGCUCUGACGAUUGAAGCCAGAUGGAUGGAAGAGUAUUCCGUUUUCAUGAAGGAAGGAAGUAAAACAAAUGCCACAUUUUCUUUGCAUGCAGAAAUGCUGAGUCACUGUGAUGAAAUUCUUGCCCUGGCGGUUGCAGAGAGGAUUGGAGGUCCAGACGGUUAUAAUCUUAUGCUUUCAGCUGUUAAGACAUCACUGCCAUUUUCUUUCCUAAAUGGAGCAAGUUCAUAUGGAGCCUUUUGUUGUCGACUGCUCUAUGAACAUUACAGUUCGGGUCCAUUUCAUCAACAUAUGAAGCAAUCUUUCUUCAGCACCCCUUACAGAGGAAGUGAAGGUAAUUUUGCCUUAGAUACCCAACGAGAAAUGGAACAUAGAGAUGCACUCAAGGGUUUCAGGCCAAGAUCUACGGUUACAUCUGUUCUUCCGCGGAUGUCACUGGUUGAUAGAUUCUUGGAUAUUGAAUCUUUCAGGGAAGAAAACAACACAAGCCAAACAAAGGAAAAUGUCAACAGUAAAACAUGGAGUGUAACACGGCAAGACCUUAAUCACAUCUAUCCCACUGCUGUCCUUAUACUUAGACAAGGAGGACUUGACAUGAAUGCAGAGACCAUUCCAAGAAAUGUCUAUGCACCUAAGCCAACACCACUCCCAGAAGUUGCACUGGACAGGAACACCUAUGAAGUUGGAAGAUAUCUGAUUGACAAAUUUGUAUUUGAGAGCAAUUUCCAUGAGUCUCAAGAAGAUGAAAAACCUUCAAUUGACUCAAGCUCAAAGGCUAAAGAACUUGUGAAGAAAGUUCAAACAAUGAAGGGCGUGACAGUAAGAAGAAUGAACUGCAAAAGUCAGGUACCCACUGAGGAAAAACAAGUUAAAGAAAUAAAAAGGAAGAGAAAAGUAAAGUCCCUCCUGGGUAUUGCAGAAAGCUUGUCAUCAGAAAUGAAAUGUUGUCAGGCAGUUGUCAAACCCGACUGUUCAAAGUCAGCAGUGCAAAAGUCAACUGGCAUGAAAAAAGCGCUUGUUCAUCAACUUGAGAAGCUACUGCAACAGGACCAUCAGGAUGGAGGCACCACCACAGAAGACAUCCUUAAAGAAGAGAAAUUACUGCAAAGUGGAAUGAAAGAUUUUCCAGUUGGUUUGCUGUCAAACGUAUCAGUUGCUAUUGUUGAAUUUGCAGGACAAAUUCAAGACAAGAGCGAGAUCUGGCCAGGAAUAUUUGAAGAUGGUAGAAGAUAACAUAAAGAAAAUCUUGAGACACAUCUACAAAACACAUUGUGAUAUGUGAGGAAAAGUACAAGUUCACUCCUGAUGACUUCAAGGCUUCAACAAGAGUGAAUAGAACCAAAUCGCAGAUUCAGUCAAUUUCCCACCUGAAGAGGGGCGACGAAAUCAUCAGCAGUUCAGUUUUUGACAAAAAGGCAGUUGUCGGAACUGAAGAAGGUAAAUCCCUUAUAAGCUGUUUUCUGGCCAAGAAUGUCAAGUCACUGGGUAUUGACAAAGAACUCAAACUGGACAUUGACAGUGAGUGGAUCACUGAUGGCUGCAUCUGCGACAGAGAAAAUAACUGUAACUGCUCGACAAAGUUUGCAAUACCAACCCGAAAUAUAUUUUCAAGGGAAGGCUUUGUGCAGCAAAUUAAGCUUGAGAAUAUUCAACAAAGGAAAGGAGAGGCGGAAAUGUCCCAAAUGGACUGGCUGGUGCACAUCUCAUCCAGUCUUGAAGCUACAGAUGAAGUUGUGUCAGUCGUGACAUCUGGGGACAUUGACGCCAUUCCAAUUCACCUUUUUGCUCUUACAGCUCUGUGGCCUAGGAAGGAUGACAAUUCUUUCAGAAACAAAGUCCAUGUUUUACUGCAGAAGCCAGGUGGUGUUGAUGUCUAUAAUAUCACUGGCAUUAUUGAGCUGCUGGAGAAGAAACUUGGACCAAAUGCAGGAAUGAAAGUUGCCAUGGGACUCUGCCUUGGGGGAAAUGACUACUUGCCAAAGUAUUCUGGAGUUUCUCACGACAAGAUCCUGAGAACAUUCGUUGACAAUGCCAACUUUUUCCAGAAUUUGUUCUGUUUUGAUCAGCGAGGCAGUGGUCACGUGUCAAAGGAAACCUACCAUGAACUCAUAAAGUCAAUAUAUUGUCCAAGCACGUUGGCUUCUCAAAAGCUGACCUUUGAAGAAGUACGUCAGCUAUCAAUGAAACAUCCUAAGAAACAAGACUUUGCUAGACCCCAAACGUGGCUUCCCCCAAAGAGUGCACUGGACCAGAUUUGUCUUCUUGUAGAUUAUCAGGUCGAAUAUCUUUUUCUAGCUGGCAACCACUCAGCAAUACUCCCAAACUUCCUUCAAAAAGGCUGUCUCAGAAAGAACAAAGAAGGGGAUGUGCAUUACUAUCUUGGAGAUGAAGUGAGCACAGAGAAACUGGAGGAUUUGAUUCAAAUUCCAGAAGCGACACUGCUGAAACGUAUCACGGACUGCAAAAUACCACAAAAGAAACUGGACAAAAGAAAGAGGACACUAGAAGAUACACCACAAAGAGGUGCCAGGAGAAAACAGAAACCAGUUACAUCAACUCCAAGGAAAUAGUACCACAGAUUCCUGUUCUGUUUACCAACCUGUGGAAUAAAACUGUUCAUAGUGAUGUGUUUGAAGUUGGAACAUGGACUGAUCAAGAAAAUGUGAUAAUAUUCGCUGCCAUACUGAAGAUGUGUCAAGUUUAGUGCAAGGCAAGGAGUGCAAGUAUAUCAAGCAGAUCCAAAGGUUGCAGAUAUUUGUGCUGAACAUUUGGUACAUUAAAUACAUCCAUUUUGUGUUUGGUACAGUCACGGGAAUGUAUGAAUGUACUUGCUCUUGUACUAGUAGUGGGCAGAAAGACCAUGUCUAUAGCAUCUGUUGUUUUAUAAAGUUGCUAACAGCCCUUUAGAGAUGUUACUAAUUACGACAAAUCACCAAAAUAAUGCAAGUGUCCACCCCUAGACGUCGUCAUAUACCAGUAGCUGGAAUAUUGCUGAGUGCGGUGUUAAACAACAAACACACAAAAAUGCAUCAUGAUAUUAAUGCGAGUAGCCCUGCCUGAACUAUAAAACCUAAUCGGCGAACUAUUACAACAAAACUUUUGCCAUCUUCACCAACUUAACUUCAGCUGCUUGACAUGAAAUGAAAGCAUGGGAUUCAAAUAUCGUAUAGUUUUAUAUUCUAUUAGACUGCUUUACGUUGUCGGACUUAUUUAAAGACGAAGGUGUGCAGCGUUUUCCUUAUAAUGUUAAAUCUUUAGAUUAUCUGACAGGUUACCAUGAACAAAGACGACGUCACAAACGGUUGGCAACUGUCAUAAACGGGUGAUCAACCUGUGUAAACAAACUGACCAUACCUGAAGCACUGUCCACGUCUAGCACUCAAGUACAUUGUUUUCGGCCAUGUGCAGUGAAUUUGACAUGACAUGACAAUGUAAUCCAAUUUGUCCAGAUAAAAUGGGUCACUUGCAUCUUGGUAUUAAUUUCAUACUCACAUUAAUUUCAUGAUUUACAGUAUGUCAUUUGCUGGAUCCACUUUGUAUGUAUUGUUUCUGCUACAUGUAAAAACUUGAUUUAUUAAUUAUGAAUUUGUUUGAAUACUUCAUUAAUGUUUACUGUGUUACUUUGAUA